CAGUCGCCGCGGUAAUACGAGGGGGGCAAGCGUUGUUCGGAAUUAUUGGGCGCAAAGGGUGCGUAGGCGGCUUGACAAGUCCUGUGUGGAAUCUAUGGGCUCAACCCAUAGUCUGCACGGGAAACUGUCGGGCUUGAGAAUGGGAGAGGUGAGUGGAAUUUCCGGUGUAGCGGUGAAAUGCGUAGAUAUCGGAAGGAACACCUGUGGCGAAAGCGGCUCACUGGACCAUUUCUGACGCUGAUGCACGAAAGCUAGGGGAGCAAACAGGAUUAGAUACCCCGGUAGUCCCUGUCUCUUAUAC
This 301-nucleotide ribosomal RNA is filed under the name uncultured bacterium. RNAcentral describes it as "partial 16S ribosomal RNA". It matches the Rfam family "Bacterial small subunit ribosomal RNA", at positions 509 to 807 of the family's 1533-position model. The record is from RNAcentral.